RNAcentral lists this ribosomal RNA (947 nucleotides) under uncultured bacterium. Its description in RNAcentral is "bacterial SSU rRNA". It matches the Rfam family "Bacterial small subunit ribosomal RNA", at positions 485 to 1434 of the family's 1533-position model. The record is from RNAcentral.
AGCAAGCACCGGCUAACUCCGUGCCAGCAGCCGCGGUAAUACGGAGGGUGCGAGCGUUAAUCGGAAUUACUGGGCGUAAAGCGCGCGUAGGCGGUUUGUUAAGUCAGCUGUGAAAGCCCUGGGCUCAACCUGGGAACUGCAGUUGAUACUGGCCGACUAGAGUACGAGAGAGGGAGGUAGAAUUCCAUGUGUAGCGGUGAAAUGCGUAGAUAUAUGGAGGAAUACCAGUGGCGAAGGCGGCCUCCUGGCUCGAUACUGACGCUGAGGUGCGAAAGCGUGGGGAUCAAACAGGAUUAGAUACCCUGGUAGUCCACGCCGUAAACGAUGUCUACUAGCCGUUGGGAGACUUGAUUUUCCAGUGGCGCAGCUAACGCAAUAAGUAGACCGCCUGGGGAGUACGGCCGCAAGGUUAAAACUCAAAUGAAUUGACGGGGGCCCGCACAAGCGGUGGAGCAUGUGGUUUAAUUCGAUGCAACGCGAAGAACCUUACCAGGUCUUGACAUCCUGCGAACUUUCCAGAGAUGGAUUGGUGCCUUCGGGAACGCAGUGACAGGUGCUGCAUGGCUGUCGUCAGCUCGUGUCGUGAGAUGUUGGGUUAAGUCCCGUAACGAGCGCAACCCUUGUCCUUAUUUGCCAGCACGUGAUGGUGGGAACUCUAAGGAGACUGCCGGUGACAAACCGGAGGAAGGUGGGGACGACGUCAAGUCAUCAUGGCCCUUACGACCUGGGCUACACACGUGCUACAAUGGCGAGUACAAAGGGCUGCAAAGGCGCGAGCUGGAGCGAAUCCCACAAAACUUGUCGUAGUCCGGAUUGGAGUCUGCAACUCGACUCCAUGAAGUCGGAUCGCUAGUAAUCGUGAAUCAGAUGUCACGGUGAAUACGUUCCCGGGCCUUGUACACACCGCCCGUCACACCAUGGGAGUGGGUUGCAAAAAAGUGGGUAGU